This 492-nucleotide ribosomal RNA is filed under the name uncultured bacterium. RNAcentral's name for it is "partial 16S ribosomal RNA". It matches the Rfam family "Bacterial small subunit ribosomal RNA", at positions 29 to 507 of the family's 1533-position model. The record is from RNAcentral.
AGUGAACGCUGGCGGUAGGCCUAACACAUGCAAGUCGAACGGCAGCACAGUAAGAGCUUGCUCUUACGGGUGGCGAGUGGCGGACGGGUGAGGAAUACAUCGGAAUCUACUUUUUCGUGGGGGAUAACGUAGGGAAACUUACGCUAAUACCGCAUACGACCUACGGGUGAAAGCAGGGGAGCUUCGGACCUUGCGCGAUUGAAUGAGCCGAUGUCGGAUUAGCUAGUUGGCGGGUUAAAGGCCCACCAAGGCAACGAUCCGUAGCUGGUCUGAGAGGAUGAUCAGCCACACUGGAACUGAGACACGGUCCAGACUCCUACGGGAGGCAGCAGUGGGGAAUAUUGGACAAUGGGCGCAAGCCUGAUCCAGCCAUACCGCGUGGGUGAAGAAGGCCUUCGGGUUGUAAAGCCCUUUUGUUGGGAAAGAAAAGCAGCAGGUUAAUACCCCGCUGUUCUGACGGUACCCAAAGAAUAAGCACCGGCUAACUUCGUG